AGAGUUUGAUCAUGGCUCAGGACGAACGCUGGCGGCGUGCCUAACACAUGCAAGUCGAGCGGGGAGAGAUUUUCGGAUUUCUCUUUAGCGGCGGACGGGUGAGUAACACGUGGGUAACCUGCCUCAAAGAGGGGGAUAGCCUUCCGAAAGGAAGAUUAAUACCGCAUAAAAUCAUGGCACUGCAUGGUGCUGUGAUCAAAGGAGCAAUCCGCUUUGAGAUGGACCCGCGGCGCAUUAGCUAGUUGGUGAGGUAACGGCCCACCAAGGCGACGAUGCGUAGCCGACCUGAGAGGGUGAUCGGCCACAUUGGAACUGAGACACGGUCCAGACUCCUACGGGAGGCAGCAGUGGGGAAUAUUGCACAAUGGGGGAAACCCUGAUGCAGCAACGCCGCGUGAGUGAUGAAGGCCUUCGGGUCGUAAAGCUCUUUGAUCAGGGACGAUAAUGACGGUACCUGAAAAACAAGCCACGGCUAACUACGUGCCAGCAGCCGCGGUAAUACGUAGGUGGCGAGCGUUGUCCGGAUUUACUGGGCGUAAAGAAUGCGUAGGUGGAUAUUUAAGUGGGAUGUGAAAUCCCCGGGCUCAACCCGGGAACUGCAUACCAAACUGGAUAUCUGGAGUGCAGGAGAGGAAAGCGGAAUUCCUAGUGUAGCGGUGAAAUGCGUAGAUAUUAGGAGGAACACCAGUGGCGAAGGCGGCUUUCUGGACUGUAACUGACACUGAGGCAUGAAAGCGUGGGGAGCAAACAGGAUUAGAUACCCUGGUAGUCCACGCCGUAAACUAUGGGUACUAGGUGUAGGGGGUAUCGACUCCCCCUGUGCCGCCGUUAACACAAUAAGUACCCCGCCUGGGGAGUACGGUCGCAAGACUAAAACUCAAAUGAAUUGACGG
This 893-nucleotide ribosomal RNA is filed under the name uncultured Eubacteriales bacterium. Its description in RNAcentral is "bacterial SSU rRNA". It matches the Rfam family "Bacterial small subunit ribosomal RNA", at positions 8 to 916 of the family's 1533-position model. Lineage: Bacteria; Bacillati; Bacillota; Clostridia; Eubacteriales. The record is from RNAcentral.